Molecule: ribosomal RNA, 465 nt
Filed under: uncultured bacterium
Lineage: Bacteria
Description: partial 16S ribosomal RNA
Rfam family: Bacterial small subunit ribosomal RNA
Source: RNAcentral
GACGAACGCUGGCGGCGUGCUUAACACAUGCAAGUCGAACGGAAAGGCCCCUUCGGGGGUACUCGAGUGGCGAACGGGUGAGUAACACGUGAGUAACCUGCCCUUGACUUCGGGAUAACUUCAGGAAACUGGGGCUAAUACCGGAUAGGAAUCCUUGCUGCAUGGUGGGGGUUGGAAAGCUUCGGCGGUUUUGGAUGGACUCGCGGCUUAUCAGCUUGUUGGUGGGGUAGUGGCUUACCAAGGCUUUGACGGGUAGCCGGCCUGAGAGGGCGACCGGCCACAUUGGGACUGAGAUACGGCCCAGACUCCUACGGGAGGCAGCAGUGGGGAAUAUUGCAAAAUGGGCGGAAGCCUGAUGCAGCAACGCCGCGUGCGGGAUGACGGCCUUAGGGUUGUAAACCGCUUUCAGCAGGGGCGAAGCUUGUGGUGACGGUACCUGCAGAAGAAGCACCGGCUAACUACGUG